This is a long non-coding RNA of Pungitius pungitius (ninespine stickleback), 1773 nucleotides long. RefSeq lists it as uncharacterized. The transcript has 3 exons. The record is from RefSeq and is a predicted model, not a curated record. Lineage: Eukaryota; Metazoa; Chordata; Actinopteri; Perciformes; Gasterosteidae.
AUUGUUUUUGAUGUCAUUGUUCUAAGCCUUAUAUGUGAAAUGUGAUGUAUAGAUAGAUUUCAAUUAUUUUUUUGGAUGUGAGACACCUCUUCCUUUCCUCUCUCUCGAUAUGGGGCAAUAUUUGGACAUCACUUGGCCUGCCGAGGUCACACACGCGACUAAAAGUACGUCACUUUUGAUGAAAGAUAAACCACAUGUAAUGUAAUAUAAUGGAUUAAACCACGUGUGUGUAAUGAUUUAAUCUACGGCUUACUGGGUGCGUUUGAUGAAAUCAUCUAAAUGGUGAUACUGCAAAACAAGAUCAUCUUUGUUUGUGAAGAAGCUCAGCCUGUAAGAUCAUAAAUCAAUUAUUGCCAUUAUAAAUCAUUUUUUGUGUAGCCAGUGAGGAAAUGUCCCUCCUGAGCUACUAUAGAUUCAGGUCAGCCUUGGCACCUCCUACUUCCUGGUUCACCAAUUAGACAGGCUGUAAAAGCUUCACGUAAUGAAGCUGUGUCAGCAUGCUUGUCCCUUUCGCUGUUGCACUCUGGCUUGAGAAUUCCGAGAGCAGCUCGUCAGGGCCCAGGUGCAGGAGGCUCAAAGUCCAGGCUGCGAUUGUGAAGUAGAUGGCCCCAAAAAUGGAAACGGCAAUGCAAAAUGGAUUUUAAAAAAGCAAGGCGAACCCCUGACUGCGAUACACGGACCAAGAUUUUUGCUAUUCCCUUCUUUAAAUUUCAAUUCAAUUACUGAACUUCAGGAUUUGGGGAAUAUUAAGAUGCCAACCAGGUGUAACAUGUUUGACCUUCCUUUUGUGGAGUCACCCUGUUAGGUGAGGGGGCAAAGUAACCAUUCAUUUUUUUUAAUAUUGUAGUUUUUUUUUUUUUUUUACUCAUUUCUGUUUGUUCCAUAUGCUUUGGGCAAGAAACGUAGUGGUGGAGUACAAAAACGUCAGAGACUUGGGUUAUUAACAACACUACCACAGGGACGCAGCUCUUAUCGCCAACGGAAAGCUUUUAAUGAUUUGAAUGGCUUGGUAGUCCAAAAUGAUGGUGCUGUAUGUUCUGUAGUGUAAAUUGCUUGAAUUGUAUGUGCGUACCCUGUAAAAAUGCACUGUAAAUGCACAUGUCUGUGGACAGUAAUUAAAACCGCUUUAAAGAACCGUCAUCUUGACUGAAAAUGAUUUUUGUUCCACAAUGACAAAUGGGAGUGUUCUAAAGAUUCAUUUUAAUGGAUAUUCAAAAUUGUACAAUGUAGUGCUGUUGUUGGAAUAUUGACUCUGAAAUUCGAACACUUCAAUGUAACCCCCACCCUCUAUGUUAGGGCCUUGGUGUUAAAAUGUAUUCCUUUUUUACAAUUGUACUUUAAUUUUGACUGUAGAUUAAUAGUUAAUGUAUUCUGGAAUCUUGUAGGAACCACCUGCGAUUGCUGAUUAUGGGUGGUCGACCUCAAAUGACGGAACCAUCAAGGUUAAAGGAAGCUUAUGGAUCUUGGGUAGCGGAUGGGCGAGGCUUGGGCUCUUCAUCCAGGUAUUUAUGUAAUGCUUGUUAAAAUGUCUUUCAACCUUAACUGUCUGCUUCCAGUAUGUCCUUGUCUGUCUUUAACUUUUUGGGCUCUCUUUAUCUGCUGUUUAACUAUUUGCUGUUCAAUGUUUUAAGAAUGUGUGUAUUGCUGAUUAAUGUUGGGCUGUGUAAGGAGCUCUCAGUGUUGCCAAGAUUUUUCUUGCUGCGUUCCUUAUUUAUGUUGUGACUUGAAACAGGGUGGUCAAGAGAACAUAACGGGCUCCCUGAAGUCAAGCUA